RNAcentral lists this ribosomal RNA (253 nucleotides) under uncultured bacterium. Its description in RNAcentral is "partial 16S ribosomal RNA". It matches the Rfam family "Bacterial small subunit ribosomal RNA", at positions 524 to 776 of the family's 1533-position model. The record is from RNAcentral.
UACAGAGGGGGCAAGCGUUGUUCGGAAUUACUGGGCGUAAAGGGUCUGUAGGCGGCCAUCUAAGUCAGACGUGAAAUCCCUCAGCUUAACUGGGGAACUGCGUCUGAUACUGGAUGGCUUGAGUGCAGGAGAGGAAUGCGGAAUUCCAGGUGUAGCGGUGAAAUGCGUAGAUAUCGAGAGGAACACCAGAGGUGAAGACGGGUUGCUGGGCCGACACUGACGCUGAGGCGCGAAAGCCAGGGGAGCAAACGGG